Molecule: ribosomal RNA, 402 nt
Filed under: uncultured bacterium
Lineage: Bacteria
Description: bacterial SSU rRNA
Rfam family: Bacterial small subunit ribosomal RNA
Source: RNAcentral
UGGGGAAUAUUGCACAAUGGGCGAAAGCCUGAUGCAGCGACGCCGCGUGAGUGAAGAAGUAUUUCGGUAUGUAAAGCUCUAUCAGCAGGGAAGAAAAUGACGGUACCUGACUAAGAAGCACCGGCUAAAUACGUGCCAGCAGCCGCGGUAAUACGUAGGGGGCAAGCGUUGUCCGGAAUUACUGGGCGUAAAGAGCACGUAGGCGGUAACCUAAGUCAGAUGUGAAAGACCAGGGCUUAACUCUGGGGUUGCAUACGAAACUGGGUAACUAGAGUGCAGGAGAGGAAAGUGGAAUUCCUAGUGUAGCAGUGAAAUGCGUAGAUAUCGAGAGGAACACUCGUGGCGAAGGCGGGUUCCUGGACAUUAACUGACGCUGAGGUACGAAGGCCAGGGUAGCGAAAG